UUGCCAGACUCCUACGGGAGGCAGCAGUGAGGAAUAUUGGUCAAUGGGCGGAAGCCUGAACCAGCCAAGUCGCGUGAGGGACUAAGGCCCUGCGGGUCGUAAACCUCUUUUGCCGGGGAGCAGUGGUCCGGACGCGUCCGGACCGGGAGAGUACCCGGAGAAAAAGCAUCGGCUAACUCCGUGCCAGCAGCCGCGGUAAUACGGAGGAUGCGAGCGUUAUCCGGAUUUAUUGGGUUUAAAGGGUGCGUAGGCGGGCUGUUAAGUCAGCGGUCAAAUGUCGGGGCUCAACCCCGGCCUGCCGUUGAAACUGGCGGCCUCGAGUGGGCGAGAAGUAUGCGGAAUGCGUGGUGUAGCGGUGAAAUGCAUAGAUAUCACGCAGAACUCCGAUUGCGAAGGCAGCAUGCCGGCUCCACACUGACGCUGAGGCACGAAAGCGUGGGUAUCGAACAGGAUUAGAUACCCUCGUAA
This 468-nucleotide ribosomal RNA is filed under the name uncultured bacterium. RNAcentral's name for it is "bacterial SSU rRNA". It matches the Rfam family "Bacterial small subunit ribosomal RNA", at positions 328 to 793 of the family's 1533-position model. The record is from RNAcentral.